This 492-nucleotide ribosomal RNA is filed under the name uncultured bacterium. RNAcentral's name for it is "partial 16S ribosomal RNA". It matches the Rfam family "Bacterial small subunit ribosomal RNA", at positions 29 to 507 of the family's 1533-position model. The record is from RNAcentral.
AGUGAACGCUGGCGGUAGGCCUAACACAUGCAAGUCGAACGGCAGCACAGUAAGAGCUUGCUCUUACGGGUGGCGAGUGGCGGACGGGUGAGGAAUACAUCGGAAUCUACUUUUUCGUGGGGGAUAACGUAGGGAAACUUACGCUAAUACCGCAUACGACCUACGGGUGAAAGCAGGGGAUCUUCGGACCUUGCGCGAUUGAAUGAGCCGAUGUCGGAUUAGCUAGUUGGCGGGGUAAAGGCCCACCAAGGCGACGAUCCGUAGCUGGUCUGAGAGGAUGAUCAGCCACACUGGAACUGAGACACGGUCCAGACUCCUACGGGAGGCAGCAGUGGGGAAUAUUAGACAAUGGGCGCGAGCCUGAUCCAGCCAUACCGCGUGGGUGAAGAAGGCCUUCGGGUUGUAAAGCCCUUUUGUGGGGAAAGAAAAGCAGCAGGUUAAUACCCCGCUGUUCUGACGGUACCCAAAGAAUAAGCACCGGCUAACUUCGUG